UCCUCCUCCUUUCCUUUUAAUCGCUUCUCUAAGCCGCAGAAAACCCUAGCUCUCUUCAUCCCAGCCCCGCCGCCACUUGCUUUACCCUCGUCCACCAAAAUAGAGCAGGCAGAAAGAGGUUCAGUUCGAAAUUCAGAACACCGAGCAGAACAUCACCUCGUCGCCAUGGAGCCGCCUCUCCAGACUGCCCCUCAUCGAGCAGAAGGCACCAGGAUCUCCGCGUCGUCGUCCUCUCCAUCUCUUUGCGAGGAAUCGAGAUGGGACUCAGUAAUUCGAGCGCAAGGUCGCCGAUCCCCCGCGCCGGUCACCAUGCUUCUUCUUUGUUUCAGGCCGCCUCCAUCCUUCCCCGGCCAAUCCGAGCCCUCCAUCGCGAUCAUGAAGUUCCUCGCUGGCUACUCUCCGUUGAACCCUGGUCCCAGCGCCUACUCCACCACUUCCGUCCAGCCGGGGCGCACGCCGGGCGCCCUCUUCUUCCUCACCGUCCGCCCUCCAUCGUCAGGGCCAUGCUCGAUGCCAUCUUCUCCGAGCCCUGCUUCCCCGCUGUUAUGCAUCUCCGUCAGAUAGAGGUGUCUCAGACAGUUAAGUCAUCCAACAUCUGUAGCGUCUGUACCUACUCAACAUCUGAAUUUCAGACCAACUGUUUUCCUUUGGUUGGUUCAGCUGUGAGCUCCUUUGUUCAGAUCCCCACAUCGGCCAAUUAAAUCCAUCAUCUUUCACUUUGUUUGUUCAGAUCCCACACGCCUGGAGUUCUUUUCUACGCACGAGCCAAACAAAAUCAGCUUUGCCAAAGCAGCUAGUGGCUACGGCCUUCUCUUCCCUGUGGUAUCAGGAUCAGCUCUCAGUGUAUGUGCUGCUUCUUGUCGGUGCUUCAGGCCAGGUUCCGGUCCAGUUUCGUUGCUCCUCUCCAACAGCGCUGCAGGUCCAACAUCAGCCUAUUCUUAUCACUUAUCACUGUUAUAUCUAUAUCUAUAUCUAUAUCUAUAUCUAUACCUAAUAAUAAAGGAACUAACGUUUCCGUGGUUUGGUCCGUUUGAUUGCUUUGGUCCGCCGUUUCCUUCGUCCGUCCUUCUACGUCUUGGUGUCCUGGUUCUAUACGUGCGUGCUAUCUUGUGAUUUCCUACAUCCCGAGGAAGGUUUCCUUCCUGACUAAGUAUCCGGAUCCCGGCCUGAACCGACUCUCUCUUCUUACCUUCCUAAGCCUUUAAAUAUGAAAUAUGAGAUCGAUCGAAGCUUGAUCGAAAUCGAUCUCGAGCUACCGAUUUGACGAGAUAUCAACAAUGAAAUACAUGGCGACAAGGGAUGUCGACGAGGCUAUAGGCGAGAUAGCGCUCCGGCGGCAAGGGCUUCGAGAUCAGGCACUAGGCGGUGGAUGUCUCGCAGACCAUCGAGCACAUGAUCGAGGUUGAUUGCAUCGAGAACGGCAGACGGCGUCCCACUGGCAGUACCAAUGUCAAAUACCCGAUCCUCGCAAGCUCAUCGAGUACUGUAACAUGCACGCCGUCGCCGGAGAAACCAGCUCCGCCGACACCACCAAAUCCGGCAGGCAGGAUCCUGAAGAGAUUUGAUCAAAGUGGCCAACGAGCCAUCAUAUAGGAUCGAGAUUGGUCAUGGCCAGCGGUGGCCACACUCAAGCGGGCAAUCACAUCCUGCUGGCGAGGGUGAUCACAUCUGCUUGCGAGACAGCCACGGAAAAGACGGGACCGACGCACAGGACGGUGGUAGUCCGAGGCAGGCACUAGCUCGACAUCCCCGGCGACACCAGACGGCGGAAGCUCAGCGAUGACAAGACUGUCAGAUCGUGCAACUUCGACGAUGACGGUUUCACCUGCUGCGUGCCGCUUCGACACGAGCCCAACAACAGCAGGAGGCUUGAACUGAUGUCAGUCCCAUUAGAGCCUUGCUCUCGCGUCAUGCCCGAGACGACCUGGUACCGGCGGUGGGUUGUGAGCAGGAUGGCAGUGGUGUCGGCACCGAGAGCCUAGCAUCCUCUCGUGGGGUGCACAUAGACCGAGGCGAGCUGGGCUAUUACGAGGGGAGCGAUUUCAGAGAACCAGCGAUGAACGUAUUCAGGAAAUCAGGCCAUACGAGGUUGAGUCAGCUCAACCGGGGAUUCUGCAUAUUCAAUUUAAUAUACGGCCAAGGGGAUGUUCAUGGAGAGAGUGGAAUUCAAUAUUGAGGUCUUAAAAUGGGGGAUAAAUACAUCCCCGUGUGAUUCCUGCGCUGGUGUAACUCGGAUUUUCAUGGUACUGAACAUAUAGAAAGGAAUUAUCAGGAUUGGAGUUAUAGUUUCCGGUUUACACAGCGCUUUGGGCUAAGGUUUGUCUCCAUUGUACUGUCCGAUUAUGUAUUAGGAGGUUUCCUUGUAAAUUUUGUUCAGACCUUGCUCUGUUCCACAGUGAUUAAUAGCUAUAUGCUGGCUGUAUUGAUGAUUGCCGAUAUAGCACAUCCUAAAUUCAGAACUUCAGAUAAUAUUAGUGGCAAUGCUAGAUUGCAUGUCAGUUCCAAAAUUUACCUGCCUGCACUUCUGACUGGUUAUUUUGUUUUGCCUUUCGCACGACUAACUUUUGGCUAUAAGUAAUUUCAUCGUGAAUUAUCAACCUUCUCGCUCAAUGAAUUGCUUUGCAGCUUCAUUCGUCGCAUAACUUAUAUGUUAUUACUACUCCAUCAUCAGUGUGAUUAGCAAAAUAUGUUCUGCAAAAUGUGCCUCGCUAUGCAUUACUAUGA
Molecule: non-coding RNA, 2724 nt
Organism: Lolium perenne
Lineage: Eukaryota; Viridiplantae; Streptophyta; Magnoliopsida; Poales; Poaceae
Source: RefSeq, a predicted model, not a curated record